Molecule: unclassified non-coding RNA, 391 nt
Filed under: soil metagenome
Description: partial contains 5.8S ribosomal RNA, internal transcribed spacer 2, and large subunit ribosomal RNA
Rfam family: 5.8S ribosomal RNA (bases 1-122)
Source: RNAcentral
GAUGAAGAACGUAGCGAAAUGCGAUACUUGGAGUGAAUUGCAGAAUCCCGUGAACCAUCGAGUCUUUGAACGCAAGUUGCGCCUGAAGCCAUUAGGCUGAAGGCACGUCUGCCUGGGCGUCACACGUCGUUGCCCCCCCAUCUACUCCUUCGGGAUUGCGGGGGGCGGAUGAUGGCCUCCCGUGCGCCUCGCCGCGCGGUUGGCAUAAAUGCCAAGUCCUCGGCGACGCACGCCACGACAAUCGGUGGUUGCGAAACCUCGGUUGCCCGUCGUGUGCGGUCGUCGCGCAUCGAGGGCUCGAAAAAAUUGCCGGGUUCCGGCUCGGCUUUCAACGCGACCCCAGGUCAGGCGGGGUUACCCGCUGAAUUUAAGCAUAUCAAUAAGCGGAGGA